This 253-nucleotide ribosomal RNA is filed under the name uncultured bacterium. RNAcentral's name for it is "partial 16S ribosomal RNA". It matches the Rfam family "Bacterial small subunit ribosomal RNA", at positions 524 to 776 of the family's 1533-position model. The record is from RNAcentral.
UACGUAGGUGACUAGCGUUGUCCGGAUUUACUGGGCGUAAAGAGCGCGCAGGCGGUCGUUCAAGUCGAGUGUGAAAGCCCCCGGCUCAACUGGGGAGGGUCAUUCGAUACUGAUCGACUCGAAGGCAGGAGAGGGAAGCGGAAUUCCCGGUGUAGUGGUGAAAUGCGUAGAUAUCGGGAGGAACACCAGUGGCGAAGGUGGCUUCCUGGCCUGUUCUUGACGCUGAGGCGCGAAAGCUAGGGGAGCAAACGGG